This 85-nucleotide transfer RNA is filed under the name Candidatus Desulfofervidus auxilii. RNAcentral describes it as "tRNA-Ser". It matches the Rfam family "tRNA". Rfam says of the family: Transfer RNA (tRNA) molecules are approximately 80 nucleotides in length. Their secondary structure includes four short double-helical elements and three loops (D, anti-codon, and T loops). Lineage: Bacteria; Pseudomonadati; Thermodesulfobacteriota; Candidatus Desulfofervidia; Candidatus Desulfofervidales; Candidatus Desulfofervidaceae. The record is from RNAcentral.
GGAGGGGUGGCCGAGUGGUUAAAGGCAGUGGUCUUGAAAGCCACGAGUUUUUAAAACUCCGCAGGUUCAAAUCCUGCCCCCUCCG